This 441-nucleotide ribosomal RNA is filed under the name uncultured bacterium. RNAcentral's name for it is "bacterial SSU rRNA". It matches the Rfam family "Bacterial small subunit ribosomal RNA", at positions 340 to 773 of the family's 1533-position model. The record is from RNAcentral.
UACGGGAGGCAGCAGUGGGGAAUAUUGCACAAUGGGCGCAAGCCUGAUGCAGCCAUGCCGCGUGUAUGAAGAAGGCCCUUUGGGUUGUAAAGUACUUUCAGUCGUGAGGAAGGUGUUAAGGUUAAUAACCUUAGCAAUUGACGUUAGCGACAGAAGAAGCACCGGCUAACUCCGUGCCAGCAGCCGCGGUAAUACGGAGGGUGCGAGCGUUAAUCGGAAUUACUGGGCGUAAAGGGCACGCAGGCGGUUAAUUAAGUUGGAUGUGAAAUCCCCGGGCUUAACCUGGGAAUGGCAUUCAAGACUGGUUAGCUAGAGUCUUGUAGAGGGGGUAGAAUUCCAUGUGUAGCGGUGAAAUGCGUAGAGAUGUGGAGGAAUACCGGUGGCGAAGGCGGCCCCUGGACAAAGGACUGACGCUCAUGUGCGAAAGCGUGGGGAGCAAAC